UGUUGUGUUACUGUAUUUCAUAUAGUUUUACUCUCUUGCAUUCUCCUUCAAAAGGAUAAAAAAAAUUUGUAAGAUAGCAAGGACAAAAACAGAGGAGAAGGCGACGGACAUCAUGAACUUUCCUCCCUCAUUACGAGAUUUUGGGUAAUGACAAUGAAAAAGCUGGCAAUAACCCGUGAUCUUGCUCCUUAAAUUGCUACUACCAACAUACGAUUUCUUGAUAUCAACAACCGAUUUUGACUUGUGAAUUCAUUUUCAAAGAAAAUAUACAUGUAUACAUUUUACAAAAUAGACAAAUCUGUCUAUGCAAGAAAUAACUUUUAUCAAAAUGGGAAAGAUUAAGAUCUUAGAUGAAACAAUUCAAUGAAGUUUAUAUUAUAAGAACUUAUAUGUUGUUUUAAAGUUAACAUGAAAUUGCUGAUGAGCAACAAGAUUGAAAAAUAUCAAUUUCCUCUUAUAUCACUCGAUUACGGCAAUUUUUUUUUUGGGUCAAAAACUAGUAUAUUUAUUUAAUUAUAAGAAGUUGGAGGAUACAUUCCAUGGGUUUCAGAACACAGUAAAUCCCAAAAGACCAUGAGGAGGAUAAAGAACCCAAUUACUCGGUAAGCUAUUUCUCCUUUGGGCUUUAGCGAUCCAAUCAACCACCCUAUUGGCUUCUCCACUGAUAUGGGCCAAAUUUAGCGUCAAGUGGGGCUUGCGCAGCUGUUGGGCCUCGCUGGUAAGCAGAUGGAGCUCCCAACUGAUCUGUCCUUGAUCUGCGAUUCGACUUAUCAGAUCCAAGUGAUCCGUUUCAAUCUCCAGCUCUUCUCCCGAUCGAACGAGAAAGUACUUUAGGCUUUGUACCAAGGCUGUCGCUUCUGUCAUUGCCGUCGAUGAAGCUUUGAUCGAUCGACCGAACCCGUCCACCAGACGCCCAUUGUGGUCUCUACAGAUAGCAGCAAUAGCUCCUUCGCUCGUUCCUUCCAGAUAAGCACCGUCUAUGUUGAUUUUUAGUUUUCCUCUCUCCGGUGGUCGACACUGCUGGGAAGGAAUUGCUGAUAAAGCUUCUUCUUGUUUCUUCCCAGGAAGCCAUCUUGUGCAAUUUCGAAGUAACGAGUGAGCAUUCUCCACCGUACGCUCGGGAUCUGGUUUCAGUGACCGAAAAAUGCCGUUGUUUCUGGCUUUCCAAAUCUGCCAGAGGGCGUUCGCCAACAACUCGAGAGGAAUGCAGGGAUGUUUGAAUUUGGCAAGCCGUUCAUCAAAUCUUGAUAGUCCAUGAGAGGAUAUGUGUAUUUGCAGGGAAGGAUGAUCCCAUACCUUCUUCGUCGAGGGGCACAGGAGGAGGAUAUGCUCCACAGUCUCUGGGCUUUGCUUGCAGAUGCUACAAAUUGGAUCAGAUCUUCAUCCAUAGGGAUCGAGGAGUUUGAUAGGAUGAUGAGGCUAGUGUUGGAUUGAAUAUCGCGGAUUCCUCUCUGAUUUUGUUGUAAGCACUCUUCACCGUAUAAUUCCCGGUUUUGGAAUUAGUCCACACCAUUCUAUCUUUUUUGUCCUACGAGCUCAAUGGGACUACAGAGAUAUCGGCCAUAAUGUCAGGGUCGAAGAGGUCAUAUAGCUGUUGUUCCUUCCAUUUUACUGCUCUCUUGUUGAUCAAAUCAGCCACCAUUCUAGGAUCAUUUUUUAUUUGCCGGUCCCCCGAUCAAUCCCCUUUUUAACCGCCUAUCCUCCCUGAUUCUGAUACUCUCUCCAUUCCCUACCACCCAUUGGAUCGAAGGACUAAUGGUUUCUCUACCCAUUAAGAUGCUUUGCUAGCCCCACGACGGUCUACUCCCUUUGCUUGCAUGCCAAAAGUCUCCUUCAAGAAAAUAUAAUCCUUUAAGAACCUUGCUCCAAAGAGAGGAAGGAUUUUGAAAUAUCCUCCAUGCCUGUUUUCCCAACAUAGCCUUGUUAAAAGAAAUCAAAUCCCGAAAACCAAGGCCUCCAUUAUCUUUUCUGAAUUUCAGAAUUUCCCAUCUCUUCCAAUGCAUACCAGCCUGGUCGCUGCCAUUUUCCCACCAAAAGGCUGCCACUUUCUUCUCAAUCGCUUUACAAAUGGAUACUGGUAUCUUGAAGAUCGACAUAGCAUAUUGAGGAAUGGCUUGCACCACUGCUUUAAUUAAAAUCUCCUUUCCCGCUUUGGAAAUCAACUUUUCCUUCCAUCCUUCAAGCUUCAUAAUAACCCUUGCAGUGAUCCAAGCAAACAUUUGCUUUUUCGUUUCUCCCCAAUCAGAUGGGAUGCCCAAAUAUUUGCUGAUUUUCUCAAUUUCUGGAACUCGCAAUUCGUAUGACAUAUUCCUUUUUAAACUCCAUGGACACUCCCUGCUGAAAAAUACCCCUGAUUUGUUUCUAUUAAUUGCUUGGCCUGAAGCAUAGCAAUAUUGAUUCAAGAUAGCUGAAAUGUUUUGGCAUUCUCUAAUGCUUCCUUCUAAGAAGAAAAUCGAAUCAUCCGCAAACAAAAGGUGGGAUAAAGUGGGGCAGGAUCUAUUCAUCUGGAUCCCUUGAAUACUCCCAUUCUCCAAAGCACGUUUCAGCAUGAACGAUAGACCAUUCGCUACUAGAAUAAACAAGUAUGGGAUAGUGGAUCGCCUUGGCGAAUGCCUCGCGAAGGUUGGAAAUAAGGCUGGGGCUCUCCAUUGAUUUUGACACUAAAAGUAACUGAUGAAACACAUUGCAUAAUCCAAUUCACCCAUUUUGAGCAGAAUCCCAUUUUCAACAUACUA
Long non-coding RNA from Syzygium oleosum, 2735 nucleotides. RefSeq lists it as uncharacterized. NCBI's taxonomy places the organism in Eukaryota, Viridiplantae, Streptophyta, Magnoliopsida, Myrtales, Myrtaceae. The record is from RefSeq and is a predicted model, not a curated record. The transcript has 2 exons.